RNAcentral lists this ribosomal RNA (406 nucleotides) under uncultured bacterium. RNAcentral's name for it is "partial 16S ribosomal RNA". It matches the Rfam family "Bacterial small subunit ribosomal RNA", at positions 30 to 526 of the family's 1533-position model. The record is from RNAcentral.
AUUGAACGCUGGAGGCAGGCCUAACAAAUGCAAGUCGAGCGAGCGGAGGACGGGUGAGUAAUGUCUGGGAAACUGCCUGAUGGAGGGGGAUAACUACUGGAAACGGUAGCUAAUACCGCAUACCAUCAGAUGUGCCCAGAUGGGAUUAGCUAGUUGGUGGGGUAACGGCUCACCUAGGCGACGAGCCCUAGCUGGUCUGAGAGGAUUACCAGCCACACUGGAACUGAGACACGUUCCAGACUCCUACGGGAGGCAGCAGUGGGGAAUAUUGCACAAUGUGCGCAAGCCUGAUGCAGCCAUGCCUCGUGUGUGAAGAAGGCCUUCGGGUUGUAAAGCACUUUCAGCGUGGAGGCGUUACCCGCAGAAGAAGCACCGGCUAACUCCGUGCCAGCCGCCGCGGUAAUAC